UACGAAGGGGGCUAGCGUUGCUCGGAAUUACUGGGCGUAAAGCGCACGUAGGCGGCUUUCUAAGUCGGGGGUGAAAUCCUGGGGCUCAACUCCAGAACUGCCUUCGAUACUGGAGAGCUCGAGUCCGGGAGAGGUGAGUGGAACUGCGAGUGUAGAAGUGAAAUUCGUAGAUAUUCGCAAGAACACCAGUGGCGAAGGCGGCUCACUGGCCCGGUACUGACGCUGAGGUGCGAAAGCGUGGGGAGCAAACAGG
This 253-nucleotide ribosomal RNA is filed under the name uncultured bacterium. RNAcentral describes it as "partial 16S ribosomal RNA". It matches the Rfam family "Bacterial small subunit ribosomal RNA", at positions 524 to 776 of the family's 1533-position model. The record is from RNAcentral.